This 462-nucleotide ribosomal RNA is filed under the name Phialophora sp. CJL-2014. Its description in RNAcentral is "eukaryotic LSU rRNA". The stretch from base 108 to 261 matches the Rfam family "5.8S ribosomal RNA". Lineage: Eukaryota; Fungi; Ascomycota; Eurotiomycetes; Chaetothyriales; Herpotrichiellaceae. The record is from RNAcentral.
UUGCUUUGGCGGGCCGCCUCCAAGGCCAGCGGCUUCGGCUGCUGCGCGCCCGCCGGAGGACCACAACUCUUGUUUUUAGUGAUGUCUGAGUACUAUAUAAUAGUUAAAACUUUCAACAACGGAUCUCUUGGUUCUGGCAUCGAUGAAGAACGCAGCGAAAUGCGAUAAGUAAUGUGAAUUGCAGAAUUCAGUGAAUCAUCGAAUCUUUGAACGCACAUUGCGCCCUUUGGUAUUCCGAAGGGCAUGCCUGUUCGAGCGUCAUUAUAACCACUCAAGCUCUCGCUUGGUAUUGGGGUUCGCGGCUUCGCGGCUCCUAAACUCAGUGGCGGUGCCUGUCGGCUCUACGCGUAGUAAUACUCCUCGCGUCUGGGUCCGGUAGGUUGCUUGCCAACAACCCCCAAUUUUUUUACAGGUUGACCUCGGAUCAGGUAGGGAUACCCGCUGAACUUAAGCAUAUCAAUA